Molecule: small nuclear RNA, 106 nt
Organism: Tupaia belangeri (northern tree shrew)
Lineage: Eukaryota; Metazoa; Chordata; Mammalia; Scandentia; Tupaiidae
Source: Ensembl
GUGCUCGCUUUGGCAGCACAUGUACUAAAAUUAGAACAAUACAGAGAAGAUUAGCACGGCCCUGAGCAGGGAUGACAUGUAAAUUAGUGAAGCGUUCCAUGUUUUU